Molecule: small nuclear RNA, 109 nt
Organism: Nycticebus coucang (slow loris)
Lineage: Eukaryota; Metazoa; Chordata; Mammalia; Primates; Lorisidae
Source: RefSeq, a predicted model, not a curated record
GUGCUGGCUUUGGCAGCGCACAUAUACUAAAAUUGGAACGAUAUAGGGAAAAUUAGCAUGGCCCCUGCACAAGGAUGACACGCAAAUUCAUGAAGCAUUCCUUAGUUUU